Long non-coding RNA from Thunnus maccoyii (southern bluefin tuna), 229 nucleotides. RefSeq lists it as uncharacterized. The record is from RefSeq and is a predicted model, not a curated record. The transcript has 3 exons. Lineage: Eukaryota; Metazoa; Chordata; Actinopteri; Scombriformes; Scombridae.
CCACCAUCCUCUUCUGUUUCUUCAUCGCCAUCAUCCUCCAUGCAGUAGUGCAGGGGUAUCUUCUGGAUAAAGUGAACCGGCGUCUUCAUCUCUCCAAGAGCAAGAACACCAAAUUUAAUGAGUCUGGUCAACUGUGUGUGUUUCACUUGGUGUCUAGUGUGUGGGGCCUCUACAUCCUCAUAACAGAAGGAUAUCUCCUGCAUCCCAGCAGCCUUUAGGAGAACUAUCC